AGUGAACGCUGGCGGUAGGCCUAACACAUGCAAGUCGAACGGCAGCACAGUAAGAGCUUGCUCUUACGGGUGGCGAGUGGCGGACGGGUGAGGAAUACAUCGGAAUCUACUUUUUCGUGGGGGUUAACGUAGGGAAACCUACGCUAAUAUCGCAUACGACCUACGGGUGAAAGCAGGGGAUCUUCGGACCUUGCGCGAAUGAAUGAGCCGAUGUCGGAUUAGCUAGUUGGCGGGGUAAUGGCCCACCAAGGCGACGAUCGGCAGCUGGUCUGGGAGGAUGGUCGGCCACACUGGAACGGAGACACGGUCCAGACUACUAAGGGAGGCAGCAGUGGGGAAUAUUGGACAAUGGGCGCAAGCCUGAUCCAGCCAUACCGCGUGGGUGAAGAAGGCCUUCGGGUUGUAAAGCCCUUUUGUUGGGAAAGAAAAGCAGCAGGUUAAUACCCCGCUGUUCUGACGGUACCCAAAGAAUAAGCACCGGCUAACUUCGUG
RNAcentral lists this ribosomal RNA (492 nucleotides) under uncultured bacterium. RNAcentral describes it as "partial 16S ribosomal RNA". It matches the Rfam family "Bacterial small subunit ribosomal RNA", at positions 29 to 507 of the family's 1533-position model. The record is from RNAcentral.